Choloepus didactylus (southern two-toed sloth) is the source of this 7217-nucleotide long non-coding RNA. RefSeq lists it as uncharacterized. The transcript is spliced from 5 exons. NCBI's taxonomy places the organism in Eukaryota, Metazoa, Chordata, Mammalia, Pilosa, Megalonychidae. The record is from RefSeq and is a predicted model, not a curated record.
CCAAACUCUUUUUCUACAUCUCUGUCUUCAUCAGUGACUUCUUUUCUCAUUCUGCUCAUCUAAAAGGGUAAGUAUUCCUUAAGAUUCUGGUCUAAGUGAUCUUCUCUUCUUUCCCUACAUUUUCUCUCUGGACCACAUGGUAAUGGCUUCAAAUAUCACCUCUAUACAGAAGGCAUCAAAGUGGAUCUCACUAAUCUUUAUCUCUCUCCAGGGCAUGAGACACUUCCACCCAGCUCUGAGUUUGUCAUACGCCCACUCAAAAGUUGCAGUGGGCUCUCAGGACAAAAUUUUCUACAGAGCAAAUCCAAACUCCACUCUUCACCCUAAAGCUUAAGACCCUCUAUGAUCCUAUUCCAAUCUAAUUUCCUACCAGUUCCUAUUCCAUUCUAUAUUGCAAAUCCUAUACUCCAGCCAAAAGGACUUCCUCACUGUUCUUGCACUUACAAUUUCCUCUCCUUCUGGUCUCUUUACAUUCGUACCUGCCAUUCCCUCUAUGGAGUACGUACACUUCACCACCACACCCCACCUGUGCUUCAAUGGGAAUGUUUUACAAGAUGAUUCAAAAUCUUGAAAACUAAGUAAAAUGCAAACCAUAUGUGACCAGAUUUUGAAAGGAAGUUACCUGUAGCAGACAGAAAUGUAUCUCAUUGAGCUCUCUGUUCACCUCUGUCCACCUAUGCCCACUUCAUGCUCAGCCUUUCGAUAUUCCUUCCUAGAAAAAUAUUCAAGCUUUCUCUCUUUCUGCUGGGCCAGGAGGAGGCUGCGACUUCUGUCCCUUCCUUCUCUUGCAAGUCCCUUCACCCCACUUUCUCUCUGCCUCUCCCCUCUCCAAUUGAUUCUAUACAGAACACACUGUCACACACCAGUAGCCACCUGCAGCAACCACUUUCAACUAUAUUUCCCUACCUUGUUUUUUUUCUGCCCCAUUUAUAAACAAUUACAUUGACAUAACACUCAGCUUAGAUAUCAAAGGCACCCUCUAAUAUAACAUACAUAUGAAUACACAAGCAUGUACACACAGUGUUUAGAACUUUUCAGUUACUAGCUAAUUCUCAGCUCACAUUUUUACUUUUGAUCUGCUUUCCCCAGAUUAACUAAUUCAUGACCCGUGAAACCACUCUGAGCAGGGUUGUCAGGGAAAGUCAUCUUGACUUCAUUUCUGUGCCUCAAGAAAAAAUUGGAGUGUAUGUGAGAGGGCCAAAGGUCUAGGAUGUGGAAAGGAUUCACUGUAGCAAUGCCUCCAAAGGAGGGAAUGGGGUGAUGAUGCCACCUCGAUUUUUUAUUCUUUUAUUGAUUUCCUUUUGGACCUGUCAAAUGAGGUGGUGAGAUGGGCCUUCUCCUCCCUUAAGCUCAACAAUAGAAGUGAAGAUGCCACAAACACACCCAGGAUAAAGGAGAUAAAACCCAAUGGAAGCAAUGUAGGAGGAAAGUACCUCAUUGCCAUUAUUGGAUACAGCCCAACUUGGACAAUGAAUUGCAGCUUUAUCACUAUAAUAGCAGCCUCCUUUCUCUAACCACUUGGGUGAUGAAAGGUUCCAAGUCCUGAUUUCUACAAAAUGAGUAAACAAGGCUGACUGCACUCUUGUGUGAGAAGAAACAGAAUGACUCAUUUUACACCUGUGUUUAUGAGUUAGAAUAGGUGUGCAACACACCAUGAGCCAUGGACUCUGAUUAUAAUAAAAUGUGUUAUCAUCCACAUCUCCAUAAAGUGGGCAAGGGGUUUAAAAUGUAUUGUGGUAGAAAACAUGAACUGGGGACUCAGGCAGUCCUAAGUUUCAACCCUACCUCUACCAUCCAAGAGUUUAAUGACUUUGGACAAGUUCAUUUAACAUAUUUGAGGUUGUUUCCUCAUUUAGGAAAAAAAAAAAGAGGCAGGAAUAUUUAUUUCAUAUGGUAAUUGUGAGAGUAAAAUGAAGUGACAUAAAUGACAGUGCCUGGUAUACUGCAAAAGGACAAAGUGGUGCUUACAAGUUGCUCCCCGUCUCUCUCUGCCCUGCUCCACCACCUGUACUAGGAACAUUUCAGUCCUGUGAGGGGAAGCAGGGUGGGCACCACCUCCUGAUAGGGAUCUAGUGAGGAUUGAACAGACUAACAUGAAUGUCCAGCACAGGACCUGGCACAGAUCACUCAGUAAAAACUCAUUCUCCUUCAAAUUGUGAACUAAUUUUGGCCAAAGUCUUCUGAGUAAAUAUUUGGUAAAGGCUUUUAGAACUUGUUUACAAACACAAUUUCUCCUGCCAGAAAGCUGUGCACCAUCUUGGAGGCUGCUCUCGUUCACCCUCCUCAUCUAAUAUGUUAUCAAGUGUUCUUGAUUCUUCUUCCAAAAUGUAUUUUAAAUUUACUCCUCACCAAUUCUAUUGCCUCCUCCAAUCAUUUUCCAUGAGGAAUCCAGAAUGGUAUUUCAGAAGUGAAAACAUGGGAAUAAAGAUAAUAAGAUGAAGUCAGAUCACAAAAUCUUUCUCUCAUGAUCCUUGACAUAGUAAAUUAAAACAAACACAAAAACAAAAUCACCAACAGCAGCCAAACUAGGUAAGGGAUACCAUGACACACCUUAUGUUUCAACAGUAAUGCACAAAGAGAAGAGCAGACCAUUGUGACAAAUAUAACUGGGCCCCACCUUGUAGAAUCUGGAAAGCGAGGGUCCCCAAGCCCAGGAAUUCUCCUUAGUACCUGCUAUUGAGUAGAGAUGUGGACUGAGAGAUGAGUGGUCUGCUCAGGGAAAAAUCAAGGUGAAAUCCUUCCAUGCGAAUAGAGGAUCUCAGCAAAAGCAGGAACAAGCAACAGCACUGUUGUUUUCCUGGUCUCCACUCUGAGUUGGAGGUGAGAUCUGAAACUGAGGGCCCCUGCCAUGGUGGGGGAGUGAACACCGGGUAGGACAUUUAACAAAAUCUUAGGAGAACAGAGUCCUGUUAUCCAAUAGGCCUCAGAAGAGUUUUCUUCCACCAUCCCUAUCCUACCACCUUCAAGCUACAGAAGCGUAGAUCAAAGAGCACUACUCUACCUCUUAAAUUGUGGCUGGGAGAGGGAGAAGAAUUAUUCUGAAAUACAGUGGGAAAGUUGUGCAUGGGAAGGAAGGAAAGAAGUAUUCAGCUGUAUAAUUUCAGAAUAAAUGGAAGUUCUGAACAGAAGUGUUCAUGUUAAGCACAUACAAGAGAAGAAAUUCAAAGACAACUAUAAGAAAAUGAAAGAGAAAAUAAGCACAGAUAUUUAAAAAAUCUAAAAAAGAAGAAUGGGAAAAAAAGACAGAAACAUAGCAUGGUAAAACCAGGUGAAAUGCCCAUUCUGGAAGAAAAUAUAACUCAAGGAAAAGUAGAAAAUUUCCUACAAAAGCUUCAAGCUAUAGAAGAGUUUAGUAAACACAUGAAUACAAUAAGACAAAAGGUAACAUGUAAGAUUAAAAUUGGGGCAAAAGAAUGGAUUACAGGAAUGCAAACAGAAACCCAAACAACAUUAUUACAGAACCCCCAAAAUAAACUAAUGGCCUUGGAUGACUCUCCAGCCCCAUCCCUAAACCCGGCCCCUCUCUACCUUCUUUCAGGCUCUUGAACACAGCCAGGGCUCCCCCACAGGGUGUUCCCUCUGCUUAGACGUCUCUGUUCUCCUCUCUUUGUUUGGCUACUUUCUUGUUCUUUCAUUCCUCAGUUUUAGGUAUUUCUUCACAAAGGCUGAUCAUGACUCCCCAGCCCAGAUUAGGUCUUCUGAUUAUCCUUUUAAAUAGUAUCCAAUAUUUUUCAAUGUUAUUAUAACUUGUAAUUCUGUAUUUAUUUGAUUAUAUGACUACUAUCUAUCUCUUCAUUGGACUACAACCUCCACAAAGGGUGAAACUGCAGCUUUCUUUUUUGCCAUUGAAUCUCCCCACCAUCUGAGCCAAGGAAAUAGGAAAAAAAAAGAAAUUGGCACAGAAUACUGGUGGAUCUGGUGGAUGAAUCUUCAAGGUUCAUGGAGUCAAGUUUUUCUUCAGCUGAAUCUUUCAACAGGGCAGCCAAGGACAAGAAGGCCUUAUAAAGAGAGAAACUGAAACCCACUGAAAUCCACAGGGAGGAGCCAGAAGCUGGAAGUCGGAGGAAACCAGAAGAGAAGACAUAAGGAGAAAGAAGUUGCCAUGUGAUGAGAUGCAGAGAUGUAAUACUUUCCAACAGAAAUGACCAUCUUUUAGGAAAAAAAGAAGAAGUUCUCAGGAGCCACAAUUCUAAUCAUCUUCCUUUGAUGCAGUUGUGGUCACUCACAAAGCAACCCUGGGUAAAUUAUAGGUGUUGAUUCAGGAUCCUGCCUGUAGAUGCUACUAAUUAAUUUCCCAGGCUCAAGGACAUUGUACUGAAUUUGUGGCCUUACUUCCAAUUUGUGAUCACAAAUUGUAACAUCCAAAACACAGAAAUAUGACUUCACGGAAAAGUCAUCUAGAAAGAGAAUUCUUCCUCAAACACAAAUACCUGUAAUAAUGGUACAGGAAAACAGAAAAUUACCAGGAAAGUAAAUUGCUUUUCUUUAAUUUUUAUAUAAACACUAUUUUUUUCAAGGUCUUCUCAGUGUUUAAACCCCUCUUUUAAAUCACUAAAGUCCCUUCACCCUCUUUUUAAUUUUUCCCUUUCAGUCCUUCUCCUCCUACUUCAUCAAAAGUAAAAGUUAGAAAACCACCUAAAUUAACCCCUUCCCCACAUUAUCAUUUCUGGUUUCCAGGAGUUGUUAAGCAAUCCUAACCCUGACAACCAAUGAUAAAGAAGAGGAAAAGAGGCCAUGGUAAAUGAGAGAUGACUGAUAUGGGGAGAAAUGACACACAAAUGGCAAAUACCCUACUUUGGCAGACAGAGAGCUGAUUUCCUUAUUCCAUAAAGAGCCCUUCAACCUCGUAAGAAUAACAUUGAUGGCCCAAUAGAGAGACUGGCAAAGGAUAUGAACAGGCUGUUCACAUCAAAAGAAAAUUAAGUGGUUUUUAAUCAUUUGAAAAGAUACUCAACCUCAGUUAUAAUUAAAGAAAUGCAAAUUAAAAUAAUAAGAUACGAUAUUUAACCAUUGGGGGCAAUCCUCAUUGUGGGGAAACAAGUCAUAUAUCAUAUUUAGAGUGCAGUUUUAAAAUGCAUGUGCCCUGUGACUCAGUAAUUUUACUUCUAGGAAUAUAUACUACAGGUGUUUUUGCACCAUGGCUCAAAAUAUGCACUCAGGGAUAUUAAUGGCAGCAUGGCUUGUAGAAAUAAAUCACUGGAAAAAACCCAAAUGCCCCUCUGUUUAUUCCAAACAACUACUACAAUACCCAUGGAGGGCCAUGCGAGGAGCUGGUCAUUGUGGGAGCUGGAAGGAUGGACACUGUCAGGAGUGGGACAGUGGGGCGAUUAUCUUCACUGUACACAUUUCUGUACUCUUGGAUGUUUAAAAAGUAAUGUGUAUUAAAAAAUAAAGCCACUAAAACAAAAAUCUUAAAGAUGCUUCUGGAACUUUUGAAUAGAAAACCAAGGAAAAGCAGCCAUGAAAUCUUCAAUUUCAAUUUCUUCCACAAGAACAGACAGUUCCAAGGAUUGAAUAUAAGUCCACACUGCAGAGGACAAUCUGGAAAUAAGCCCCAGGAUUAUAUGCUAUAUUUGUUGCGCUUGCUCUCUUUUGAUAUUAUACAUGGUAUCGUUCUAAAAACGAAGGACUGAAUUUUACUUAUUGUAAUUUUAAUAGCACUUUGCUGUUGCAAUGUCAGAACUUAACACAUAAUAACACUUUAAAUGAAAAUUUUCUAUAAUUUCUCUGGAAAAAAGUUUCUUUUAGAAAUAGUCCCAAUCAUUUAAUUUACCAAAUACCUAUAAUCAUUCACAUUCUUUAGCCAGUCUUCCAGGUUACCAAGUGUAUUUUUACUUUCUGAAACAAAACCCUCGGUGAAAGCUGCCCAUUGUAAGGCCAUGACAUCUAAGAAACCAUAUUCUUAUCUCCAUUACUGUGCAACAUGGGACUUGUGGGUCUUAUAAAUUACUCGCGUAUGCCAAACAAAUUACAUGGAAGAUCAUAGUGUUAAUUUGAAAAGGGAAACAGUUUUAUGGCAUCUAAAGGACUGAAAAAAUUACCUCUAAUCCUUUUGGGAAUCAAAGAGGCAAUAAAGUGAAAUUGAGGGCAGAAAGACUCACAUUGUAAUCCAUUUACUACCAAGCCUUGUUUACGCAGGAUUUAUUUGUGCCAGUAAUAGUCACCAAAGCUUCAUAUCAUGACUUUACCAGAAUUUCAUUUAAAGAAGCAUCUCAUAUUUUUUCACAAAUAGCGUUCAGCUGAUUAAAGCCUAAUUACACACAUUGAAUUAAAGGUGUGGGUAUAUAAGAAAAUGUUUCAGCUAAAAGGAAUCUGUGCUGGUGUUUGAUUUCCAGCUAGUAAUUUGGCUGGAAUAAAAUGGAAACAAGAAAACAGAAUUGUUUAAAAGGUGCAGUUUUAUGACAACAUGCAUUUCUAAAGUGGAAAACGAGAUAGACAAAUACACCGCACACUUUUUAAAUGGGAUGUGCUGAAGUCUGAAACGGCCUUUUCUAUUACCCAACAUUUACAAUAAGAAUAUUACAAACCACACGCACGGAGGCCAACAGCCAGAAAAAACAUAUUUCCAUUUUAACGCCUUUAGAUGAUCAAAGCAUCAGCUUAAUAUAAUCAGCUGAAACCCAUUUACCAGCGAGCUGCCACUGUGCCCAGGGAAUGCUUUGCCUUCCAGCCCUAUCUAUUCUGGAACAGGUGCUAUACUAGUAAAUUAAUUAGUCUGUGGAGAAGCACCUUGUUCUCCAUCUCCGCAGGCCUCUUGUGGGUCAGGGCCUUGAGGACUUCGCCAUCUGGGCAGAGUUUCCCCCAGAGAAACAAUCAAAGUCCACAGAUUGCAGCCUACAGAGGAAGGUUCAGAUGACAAUUAACCUUAUUAGGCCCCAUUUUUUACAGUUUACAGUGUGUCAACAUGUUGGCUCCAUAAAUAAUCUGCUACAUCAAAUCAGUGAAAAGAAACAGUUUCUCUCUUUCUUGAAAGUUUUAAAAUCCUCUGGAAAAAAAAGGAUAAUUUUUUAAGAGAAAUGGUAUCAUUUAUAAAUACAUGAAUGUUGGGAUUAUUGAGUGGGAAGCUACACGGGCUCUAGAUUUCAAUUAAAGUUCAUGAAAAAUCUACUAUCCAUUUCUACUGAAUAUAAAUUUUGGGGGGAACUCAAUUUCUCUUACAGGUAUUUAAACUGUUUUCUGUCUCAGACCUAAUGCCUACUGUAUAUGUGGUCUUGUAG